AUCCAACUGACGAGUCCCAAAUAAAACGAAACACUCGUCAAACUAGAU
Molecule: non-coding RNA, 48 nt
Filed under: Schistosoma mattheei
Lineage: Eukaryota; Metazoa; Platyhelminthes; Trematoda; Strigeidida; Schistosomatidae
Source: RNAcentral